GAUCAUGGCUCAGGAGUGAACGCUGGCGGCAUGCCUAAUACAUGCAAGUCGAACGGGAGUGCUUGCACUCCAGUGGCGAACGGGUGAGUAAUACAUAGGUAACCUGUCCUUAAGACGAGGAUAGCUUCUAGAAAUGGAAGAUAAAAACUGGAUAGGACAUCACAAAUCACAUGAUUAGAUGUUUAAAAGAGCAAUCUACUUAAGGAGGGGCCUGUGGCGCAUUAGCCAGAUGGCGGGGUAAUGGCCCACCAUAGCGAUGAUGCGUAGCCGGUCUGAGAGGACGAACGGCCACAUUGGGACUGAGACACGGCCCAGACUCCUACGGGAGGCAGCAGUAGGGAAUUUUCGGCAAUGGGCGGAAGCCUGAACCCGAGCAAUGCCGCGUGAAUGAAGAAGUAUUUCGGUAUGUAAAGUUCCUUUAUUUGGGACGAAAAAACAAAUUGACGGUACCAAAUGAAUAAGCCCCGGCUAACUAUGUGCCAGCAGCCGC
This 490-nucleotide ribosomal RNA is filed under the name uncultured bacterium. RNAcentral's name for it is "bacterial SSU rRNA". It matches the Rfam family "Bacterial small subunit ribosomal RNA", at positions 15 to 518 of the family's 1533-position model. The record is from RNAcentral.